RNAcentral lists this ribosomal RNA (305 nucleotides) under uncultured bacterium. Its description in RNAcentral is "bacterial SSU rRNA". It matches the Rfam family "Bacterial small subunit ribosomal RNA", at positions 337 to 635 of the family's 1533-position model. The record is from RNAcentral.
ACCUACGGGGGGCAGCAGUAGGGAAUUUUCGUCAAUGGGCGCAAGCCUGAACGAGCAAUGCCGCGUGAACGAGGAAGGUCUUCGGAUCGUAAAGUUCUGUUGAAGGGGAAAAAGAGCGGAGAGAGGAAAUGGUCUCCGAUUGAUAUUACCCUUCGAGGAAGUCACGGCUAACUACGUGCCAGCAGCCGCGGUAAUACGUAGGUGACGAGCGUUAUCCGGAAUGAUUGGGCGUAAAGGGUGCGUAGGCGGCCUGCUAAGUCUGGAGUGAAAGGUACCGGCUCAACCGGUACAGGCUCUGGAAACUG